UUUAUACAGUAAAAGAAAAUUUCCUUACCCUCCUCUCGUGAAAACAAUGAAAACAGGGUGUGUUUAGGUGCGCAAAUCUCAGAUAUUAUAAGAUUUUAGUGUUUAUAAAAAAUAUGUUCUUAUAAUUGAUAUACUCUAUUUUGCGAAACUUAUUUCUAUAGGUCCGAAAUCCUAUACAAAACUAAGAAAAUAAAUAAACUGUUCUCUUAAAAAAAACACGAUUUUCGUGGUCUUCGUAAUUCUUUAGCGGCAAGUAAUAGGGUUCAUUUUUCAACUGUCUUAUCCCGUACUGUUACAAUGAAUUUUCAAAAAUCAAAUCAGUCUGCGCCACGGCGCCUUUGUGGGUGGACCUGUGUCGGUUUUUCUCCGCCGCUCAAAGUGAAAACAUCGCUGUACAGAUACGAAUAGUUAUUUCCUUGCUCUUGAGACUUGAAUCUUCAUUGAUUACGAAAAAUAUGGGACGGUAUAAGAAGUUUGGAGUAACUCGAAAAAUGAUUAAUGCAAAUAGACGUAAUGCGCAAAUACGUAGAACGGUCAUAAUCGCGAGUAACCAAAAAAACACCCAGUCUGAUGAAAUAGAUAUUCAGGAACAACUUUGUUUAUCUGGAGACACUAACAAUUUCGACGAAAAAGAGAACAACCAAGAAACAAAUAAAAUAAAACCUCCGGAUGAACCUUGUUCAUCUAAAGUUAGCUAUGAAAUAUCUUAUGUAAAUAUAUUUAUGUAACUAUUUUUAAAACUAUUGAUUUACUAUAAAUACAAUUU
Molecule: long non-coding RNA, 766 nt
Organism: Plutella xylostella (diamondback moth)
Lineage: Eukaryota; Metazoa; Arthropoda; Insecta; Lepidoptera; Plutellidae
Source: RefSeq, a predicted model, not a curated record